Molecule: microRNA precursor, 145 nt
Filed under: Gossypium hirsutum (cotton)
Lineage: Eukaryota; Viridiplantae; Streptophyta; Magnoliopsida; Malvales; Malvaceae
Description: MIR7502 microRNA precursor family
Rfam family: MIR7502 microRNA precursor family
Source: Rfam by way of RNAcentral
UUUUUAAAUUUCUUUUAUUUGUACUAUUAAAAACUGGCAUGCCUAUGAAAUAACCAGACAGUGUGACACAUGGCUGCCUUUUUGUACAUCAUGCUGAGGUACAAAGACCAGAUUUUAACAGCAGAAAUGAAUAGAAUUUUUAACA